GUCUGUGGAGAAGAACGAAGGCAAUGCCACAGCAGAACUGUCAACAAAAUACCCGUAUUGGUUUACGAGUCUCGCGGUGAAUUAGCCAGGGACAAACAUGGCUCGCGUUCCGGCAGACGUGUGUUUUUCUUCGUGGUGAACCUACGGCCACCUCUUUCUCGCUUCUUCGCCGAGUUCCCUGUCUCUGUUUCAUCGAGCAGGGAUCCUCAACUACGGGAGUGGUGAUAUUCACGCAAGUACGUACAACGCGUAUACACACCCAGUUGUAACGCGCGUACUCACACGCGCGGCUUGAUGUAUAUUAAUAUACUUACACCGCUAGGUAAGGGAAGAGAGAAGCUUCCCUCUCGUUAGUAUGCAAGUGCCGUUUCGGUGCCCCUUACGUGGCCUUAUUUGCACUCGUGUACGAUCGGCGCGCAAAACCAAUCAAAAUGAUCGUUCUCCCUUUCGCAUGAUUUUUUUUCUUCUCCUUAGCGUGUAUAUUACUUACGUAAAUAUGCCCAAUAUCCAACCCAAAUUUUCAAUCUUUUCUCGUUCUUGCAAUUAGUAAAAUUGCAAAAAUUGCGUACGGAUCGCGUAUUAGGCGCGCGAAACGAGUCGAAAUGUACGUUCUCUUACCUACGUCGUACGUUGUGCCUGACUCGUGCGAGCACGCUUAUUAGCGAAAUAUGCUACAAAUACGUUCUUAUUGUUAAUUCAUUGUUGAUAGAACAUAAACGCGCGUUCCCCCUCUCUCUUUUCUUUACGUGUUUCUCUGUUUCUUGUCGUCUGGUCGUCGCGAACGUGCGUGUGCGGGUAACGGUGCAGUAAAUGGCGGAGAGGAUGUAAAAGGGCUUUCCUAGUCUCUAUGAUGCGCCAGCAGUGAAUUAUUCGCGUUGUCGUACCUCUGACAUAAUCGUCGUUGUUUGCCCUCGCGCGGGUCAUUUCAGAGGAACGUGGAAAGAGGAAGAAUGGUUCAAUCGAGAGGGAAGUGAGAAUCCUGCCGUCAUCCUGGCGCGUGGCAAACCAGGCCAGAGGCCUGGAUCCUCGUCCUCCUCGUCCUCGUCCACGGAGAGGCUGCAAAGGAUGCCAGGACCGGCACAAGAAAGGCCUCGCGCUCAAAGGCUUACCGACAUCGAGCCUCAAACUGCAAAGGUGAGUAAAUCACGAUACUACGAUCAACGUACAGCGUUGGGAGGGAGGUGUGUCCCAUU
Molecule: RNA transcript, 1193 nt
Organism: Frieseomelitta varia
Lineage: Eukaryota; Metazoa; Arthropoda; Insecta; Hymenoptera; Apidae
Exons: 2
Source: RefSeq, a predicted model, not a curated record